UUUCUAAAUGCAUACUCUACCUGUUCAGUUACACUCGUUGUGGAACAACAUUAGCUUAUAUACCAGUAAGUUGUCGAGAAUGGAUAACCAUCUGUCAUUAUCACUGACCUUCAAAGACUCAUCAAGCAGUCCCUGCAUAAGGAUUGGAGUGGUUUGAAGUUUCUCUUCCAAGCACUAACAUGUCCCUAUCCCACAGUCAUUUUAAUU
RNAcentral lists this long non-coding RNA (207 nucleotides) under Homo sapiens (human). Its description in RNAcentral is "non-protein coding lnc-HSPA12A-2:2". The record is from RNAcentral. Lineage: Eukaryota; Metazoa; Chordata; Mammalia; Primates; Hominidae.